Molecule: long non-coding RNA, 484 nt
Organism: Oncorhynchus tshawytscha (Chinook salmon)
Lineage: Eukaryota; Metazoa; Chordata; Actinopteri; Salmoniformes; Salmonidae
Source: Ensembl
GGAGGAGGCAGGUAGCUGGGUCCAGGGACAGGCAGAAGGUCAUACACAGGAGGAGGCAGGUAGCUGGGUCCAGGGGCAGGCAGAAGGUCAUACACAGGAGGAGGCAGGUAGCUGGGUCCAGGGGCAGGCAGAAGGUCAUUCACAAGGGGAGGCAGUUAGCUGGGUCCAGGGGCAGGCAGAAGGUCAUACACAGGAGGAGGCAGGUAGCUGGGUCCAGGGGCAGGCAGAAGGUCAUACACAGGAGGAGGCAGGUAGCUGGGUCCAGGGGCAGGCAGAAGGUCAUACACAGGAGGAGGCAGGUAGCUGGGUCCAGGGGCAGGCAGAAGGUCAUACACAGGAGGAGGCAGGUAGCUGGGUCCAGGGGCAGGCAGAAGGUCAUACACAGGAGGAGGCAGGUAGCUGGGUCCAGGGGCAGGCAGAAGGUCAUACACAGGAGGAGGCAGGUAGCUGGGUCCAGGGGCAGGUAGCUGGGUCUAGGGGCAGG